This 64-nucleotide transfer RNA is filed under the name marine eukaryotic metagenome. It matches the Rfam family "tRNA", at positions 5 to 66 of the family's 71-position model. Rfam says of the family: Transfer RNA (tRNA) molecules are approximately 80 nucleotides in length. Their secondary structure includes four short double-helical elements and three loops (D, anti-codon, and T loops). The record is from RNAcentral.
CCUUAGCUCAGUUGGUAGAGCGGCUGACUUUUAAUCAGUAGGUCGCAGGUUCGAAUCCUGCAGG